Gymnothorax javanicus (giant moray) is the source of this 70-nucleotide non-coding RNA. The record is from the annotation of a GenBank genome assembly. NCBI's taxonomy places the organism in Eukaryota, Metazoa, Chordata, Actinopteri, Anguilliformes, Muraenidae.
GCAUUGGUGGUGUAGGUGUGGAAUUCUUGCCUGCAAUGCAGGAGGUUGGGCUCGAUUCCCAGCCAAUGCA